RNAcentral lists this ribosomal RNA (470 nucleotides) under uncultured bacterium. Its description in RNAcentral is "bacterial SSU rRNA". It matches the Rfam family "Bacterial small subunit ribosomal RNA", at positions 29 to 507 of the family's 1533-position model. The record is from RNAcentral.
AACGAACGCUAGCGGCAUGCCUCAAACAUGCAAGUCGUACGAGAAAGUUUCUUUCGGGAAGCGAGUACAGUGGCGCACGGGUGCGUAACACGUAGCUAACGUACCCCUUCGCUGGGGACAACUCCGGGAAACCGGAGCUAAUACCGAAUGAGCUGCUAAGGUCUGCGGACUUUAUCGGCAAAGCCUCCGGGCGCGAAGGGAUCGGGCUGCGCAACAUUAGCUUGAUGGUGGGGUAACGGCCCACCAUGGCUACGAUGUUUAGCUGGUCUGAGAGGAUGAUCAGCCACACUGGAACUGAAACACGGUCCAGACUCCCACGGGAGGCAGCAGUUGGGAAUAUUGGACAAUGGGGAAACCCUGAUCCAGCAAUGCCGCGUGAGUGAUGAAGGCUUUCGGGUCGUAAAGCUCUUUCAGUGGGGACGAAGGGAAACUUGACGGUACCCACAGAAGAAGCACCGGCUAACUCCGUG